This is a long non-coding RNA of Arvicola amphibius (Eurasian water vole), 1390 nucleotides long. RefSeq lists it as uncharacterized. NCBI's taxonomy places the organism in Eukaryota, Metazoa, Chordata, Mammalia, Rodentia, Cricetidae. The record is from RefSeq and is a predicted model, not a curated record. The transcript is spliced from 4 exons.
GCCAGUUGUAGCGACAGAAAAAUGGCUUGAUAAGUCACAGGAGGCAUCCGUGUAGGAUUUUCUAUGUGUAUUAUAAUAAACAUUUAAAUGACAAACAUGGAAUAAAAUGCCGUCGUUUAAAAAUGUUUUGAAUGGAGCUGGAGGGAAAGCUCAGCAGCUAAAAGCACUUGUUCUUGUAGAGGGCGGGGGAGGGGGUUGGUUUCUAGCAUCCACAUGAUAGCUCACAACCAUCUGUAAGUAAGUCCAGCUUCCAGAGAUCCGACCCCCUCCCUCCUGUGAUAUACCUGGACACUAGGUAUUCAUUGAAAGAUUAUAUGUAUAUGUGAGAGUGAUCUGGAAUGAUCCCGUUUUGGUGUUAAAAUGUGUGUAAUAGGAUGUAUGCUAUGUGUAUUAUUCAUGUUCAUCUAAUGUUCAUAUAAAAUUGUAUGUCUAAUGAAGUUUAGGCAGAUUUGGAAGCACAUACAUUAACGCAGUGUCAGUAGUUUUAUGUUAAUAGAGAGACCACAGACUGUUUGGGGGGCAUUUCCUAACCUUUUCAAUUUAUAUAUUUGUUUUGUAAUAACAGGGGAAGGAAGAAAAAAUUAAAAUGUAAAAUUCCUCCAGAAGCCUGGUGUGGAGCCCCCGUGUGGCAACAAAGAGCCCGCGUGGCCUGUAGGGGUGUGAGAAGAGACCAGUCAGUAGAAUGUACCCUUCUUAAUGCGUAAAAAUCGGAUUUCUCCUGGGGACUUCCUUGGGGUAGCCACAUUUGCCACAGGGAGACUUCUGAAGGUGGAAGGCCUUAGAGCCACGGCGCAGCGUUCCUUUCGUCAUCUUGCUUCUGCCGCCGAGGCCAAAGAGACCGGAAGAGCCCUUGGGUGAGUCCUUACUCUUAAUAUUUGGAGAGGCUGGUUCCCCAACUCUAAUUUUCCUCUCUUCCUGCUAACUCAGCUGCGUUCUGAGGUCUCCAAAGUCCUGGGAUUUAUUGCCUCUCAAAAGAAUUGCCUGGAUCCCCUGAUGUCACUUGCCUUUUGGAGUCAGUCCUUCAAAGGGUGAUGUCCAUCUCAUUCUUAUUACAGGGAACAGCUUUGGCAUCUGCCCCAGCUCCUUUCCUAUUGUUUCCUUUUGGUAGCUCUUCCAGGGAGAUUAUUACCCUUUCAACACAUCCCCUUUGCUGCGGUGGACUGAAGUUUUCUAAUCUGGAGGGAAUUUGAUAAGGGAAACACCCGACUAGACUACAAUUGUAAAGAGACCUUUAAUUGCUGCCCAGUGUUUCAGGACCCCAUUGUGCUUCACGAGCCUCAUGCUAGUGUCACAGCUUUGUACAGAGUUCAUGCCUCCUGUUUAAGGAGCUAUGGUGGUAAACUAUGUGGUGGUGGUGGUGGUGAUUGCCUCUAAUCUCAACACUCAGGAA